AGAGUUUGAUCCUGGCUCAGGAUGAACGCUAGCGGCAGGCUUAACACAUGCAAGUCGAGGGGUAACAGGGAUUGCUUGCAAUCUGCUGACGACCGGCGCACGGGUGCGUAACGCGUAUGCAACCUACCUUCUACAGGGGGAUAGUCAAUAGAAAUGUUGAAUAAUACCCCAUACGAUCAUUAAUCUGCAUGGAUUGAUGAAGAAAGUUUCGGCGGUAGAAGAUGGGCAUGCGUCCUAUUAGUUAGUUGGUAAGGUAACGGCUUACCAAGACAUCGAUAGGUAGGGGUCCUGAGAGGGAGAUCCCCCACACUGGUACUGAGACACGGACCAGACUCCUACGGGAGGCAGCAGUGAGGAAUAUUGGACAAUGGAGGCAACUCUGAUCCAGCCAUGCCGCGUGCAGGAAGACUGCCCUAUGGGUUGUAAACUGCUUUUAUACAGGAAGAAUAGUACCUACGUGUAGGUAUUUGACGGUACUGUACGAAUAAGGAUCGGCUAACUCCGUGCCAGCAGCCGCGGUAAU
RNAcentral lists this ribosomal RNA (523 nucleotides) under uncultured bacterium. RNAcentral describes it as "bacterial SSU rRNA". It matches the Rfam family "Bacterial small subunit ribosomal RNA", at positions 8 to 524 of the family's 1533-position model. The record is from RNAcentral.